CUGCGAGCGUGACGGCGCGAGCAGGUGCGAAAGCAGGUCAUAGUGAUCCGGUGGUUCUGAAUGGAAGGGCCAUCGCUCAACGGAUAAAAGGUACUCCGGGGAUAACAGGCUGAUACCGCCCAAGAGUUCAUAUCGACGGCGGUGUUUGGCACCUCGAUGUCGGCUCAUCACAUCCUGGGGCUGAAGUAGGUCCCAAGGGUAUGGCUGUUCGCCAUUUAAAGUGGUACGCGAGCUGGGUUUAGAACGUCGUGAGACAGUUCGGUCCCUAUCUGCCGUGGGCGCUGGAGAAUUGAGGGGGGCUGCUCCUAGUACGAGAGGACCGGAGUGGACGCAUCACUGGUGUUCGGGUUGUCAUGCCAAUGGCACUGCCCGGUAGCUAAAUGCGGAAGAGAUAAGUGCUGAAAGCAUCUAAGCACGAAACUUGCCCCG
This 429-nucleotide ribosomal RNA is filed under the name Klebsiella pneumoniae. Its description in RNAcentral is "partial 23S ribosomal RNA". It matches the Rfam family "Bacterial large subunit ribosomal RNA", at positions 2373 to 2801 of the family's 2925-position model. RNAcentral also lists the same sequence under 1 other name. The record is from RNAcentral. Lineage: Bacteria; Pseudomonadati; Pseudomonadota; Gammaproteobacteria; Enterobacterales; Enterobacteriaceae.